UACGGAAUGUGCAACCGUUAUUCGGAAUCACUGGGCUUAAAGAGUCCGUAGGCGGCUUGUUAGGUGAGGUGUGAAAUCCCUCGGCCCAACCGAGGAAUUGCGCUUCAAACCGGCAAGCUAGAGGAGGAUAGAGGUGGGCGGAACUGAUGGUGGAGCGGUGAAAUGCGUUGAUAUCAUCAGGAACACCGGAGGCGAAGGCGGUCCACUGGGUCCUUUCUGACGCUGAGGGACGAAAGCUAGGGGAGCGAACGGG
Molecule: ribosomal RNA, 253 nt
Filed under: uncultured bacterium
Lineage: Bacteria
Description: partial 16S ribosomal RNA
Rfam family: Bacterial small subunit ribosomal RNA
Source: RNAcentral